CAAAAUCCAUCCCCUUGUAAUCAAUUGAACUGUUAAGAAAUCUCUCUGGACGGAACCUCUCGGCUUGGACCCAAUAUUUUGGAUCUCGACCAAUUGCCCAUGCGUUAAUGACAACUUUCGUCUUGGCAGGUAUAUUAUAUCCAUUAAUCUCACAACUUGUGCGACAUUCUCUUGGAAUAAGAGAUAAAGGAGGGUGUAGUCUCAAGGUCUCUUUGAUUACAGAUUUCAAAAAUUUCAGCUCAUGUAUUCCUGUUUCAUCUACAGUUCCUUUCCGAUUAAAUACUUGUCUUACUUCAGCCUGUGCCUCCUCCAUCAGCUUUGGAUUCUUCAACAGUUCUGUCAUUGCCCACUCUAUUGUUGUUGAAGAUGUCUCACUCCCAGCAGUGAAUACAUCCUGC
RNAcentral lists this long non-coding RNA (398 nucleotides) under Manihot esculenta (cassava). RNAcentral's name for it is "long non-coding RNA (MESC_LNC008888)". The record is from RNAcentral. Lineage: Eukaryota; Viridiplantae; Streptophyta; Magnoliopsida; Malpighiales; Euphorbiaceae.